Molecule: ribosomal RNA, 409 nt
Filed under: symbiont type-X of Acyrthosiphon pisum
Lineage: Bacteria; Pseudomonadati; Pseudomonadota; Gammaproteobacteria; Enterobacterales; Enterobacteriaceae
Description: bacterial SSU rRNA
Rfam family: Bacterial small subunit ribosomal RNA
Source: RNAcentral
GCAGUCGAGCGGCAUCGGGAGGUAGCUUGCUAUCUUUGCCGGCGAGCGGCGGACGGGUGAGUAAAGUCUGGGGAUCUGCCUGAUGGAGGGGGAUAACUACUGGAAACGGUAGCUAAUACCGCAUGAUGUUACGCGACCAAAGCGGGGGACCUCCGGGCCUCGCGCCAUCAGAUGAACCCAGAUGGGAUUAGCUAGUAGGAGAGGUAAUGGCUCCCCUAGGCGACGAUCCCUAGCUGGUCUGAGAGGAURACCAGCCACACUGGAACUGAGAGACGGUCCAGACUCCUACGGGAGGMAGCAGUGGGGAAUAUUGCACAAUGGGCGCAAGCCUGAUGCARCCAUGCCGCGUGUGUGAARAAGGCCUUCGGGUUGUAAAGCACUUUCAGCGAGGAGGAAUGAAGCAAUGCAA